Long non-coding RNA from Trichechus manatus latirostris (Florida manatee), 1388 nucleotides. RefSeq lists it as uncharacterized. The transcript is spliced from 4 exons. Lineage: Eukaryota; Metazoa; Chordata; Mammalia; Sirenia; Trichechidae. The record is from RefSeq and is a predicted model, not a curated record.
AGCAGCACGCUCCCGGGGGCAGACUCACGAGGACUUUCCUCACCCAGCUGAGGUAUCUCAUGUUUGAGAAUGAAGUGGCAGGAAAGCUGGCUAAGAUGUGGAGUGAGGGGGAGACAACCCUUAUGAUGGAUUCUUGGUGCUAAAAUGUGCUAGUAGCAUGUUUGAUGUCUCCCCUGAGGCCUUCAGCCAGCUUCCCUCAGGUUUGUGGCUCUUUCUAAAAUUGCCCAGACAGCAAACUUCCCGAGAUAAAGUUCACCGUGGGAACCCUUGCAGUGAGCGAGUUAAGCUCAAGCCCUAGAGAAGGAGAGGACCGGCUGCAGUGGACAGCGUCUGUCACCCCCAACUCGCACAGCCCAACCCUCCACCAGGUCCAGCCCCUAGGCCAAGGCGCCCAGAGGGACAAGGGUCCUGAGAGAUGAACCCAGCCUCACCUUGUCCUGGUGUAGCCACCAGGUUUGUUCCUGGAGAAGCCCGAGGUCGACCAGAAAGGUGGUGGCAAGCUUCCCAGGUAAGAACUUUGCUUCUGUCUUUGAACAUGUGUCUUGUAAAUGAAGACCAAUGGGACAAUUGAGCUUGUGUGAGAAGAGGAGGUGCGCAACACGCGUGUUCGCCAUCACAUUUACACCUGCAUGAGCAGAUUCUGUGGAGCUCCGCGAGGUCGAGGUGAGCAGGCUCCCUCUACACCUGAGCAGGUGGAGUCCCUGCUUCCCCUUACGACAGAGAGAAGGCAGUGGUGCUCCAGGAAACACGGAGGACUGAGGCCCCAUCACGCUCUUUCUCUGCUUGUUCCUCCUCUGUGUUAGCGAACCACACAUGCUGAAGGGAUGGGAAAGGGGCAACCCUCGUUCCUGUUCUUCCAGUCCUUCCAUGCCCAUCAGUAUGGUGGGUGGUGCUGUGUGUAUCCAGGAGUGAAAUAAUGGUGUUAUGCCACUUUCCCACUGUUCUGAUGAGAAUGAAACAUAUAUUCAUAUAGGAGCUAUGAAAUACUAGUGUGCAACUCUGGCGAAUCUGUAUACGUGUUCAAUGCUCUUCUGUUUGCACUUAAAACUGGCUUCUCACGAUAUAAAGAUGAAUGGUUGAAUUUAGGCUGGGUGGUGCUUGCCAUGGAGUUGGUUCCGGCUCAUGGCAGCCCCAUGGAUUACAGAAUAGAACUGUUCCAUACGGUUUUCUUGCCUGUAAUCUUAGUGGGAGCAGAUCGCCAGGGCUUUUCUUCCUCUAUAUCUCUGGAUGGGUUUGAACCACCAAGCUUUAGGUUACUAGUCCAGUGCAAACAGUUUGUACCACCCGGGAACCUUAGAAUUCACACUAGUCAUUUAAAUCUUUAAUUUUCCUUAACUUAGUACGACAUUAAAUAGCAAAUAGAGAAACAUCACAACAAGUCGAGAGAC